This 2070-nucleotide long non-coding RNA is filed under the name Phoenix dactylifera (date palm). RNAcentral describes it as "long non-coding RNA (PDAC_LNC013440)". Lineage: Eukaryota; Viridiplantae; Streptophyta; Magnoliopsida; Arecales; Arecaceae. The record is from RNAcentral.
CCAAGAACCUAAGAUUUCACUUCAUCCAGUUGUGGGAUCUCGUAUGCCUCAGACUAUGAUGUUGGCUCGCCAUGUGAAGAAACAACUAAUUAGUGUUCUAAUUCGUAAGGCCUGUGGUCCCAACUUCUUAGAUUCAGCUGCAAUGUCUUCAAUCAGGAUUGCAUUUCAUGCGAGAUUUGUCUUUCAAAUUGCUACUGCUUUAAUAACAUGGAAAUAGUUUAUAAAGCAAACGAAAAUAAUUUUAAUAUAGCCAUAUAUGGACUUGCUUGUAUAGGGUCUUAGUUCCUAAGAUUAUCGCCAUUUAUUGCAGUUGCUAUUACUCUUGUUUAUUUGCAUUAUCUGAUUUCUUUUGAUGAAUUAUUUUUGAUCUGCCAUACUUCUAUCCGGCUUGUCAAAAAAUAAUAAAAAAUAAAAAUAAAAAAGUGCAGAACAGAAAAGUAUAAGCAUAAAACAUAAUUUUCAAGGGUAGGAGUCCAUAUUCUUUUACUCAGCAAUAAUGAUGAUGAUUUUCAUAAUAUGGACAUGAGCCCCAAGUCUUAGAACAAUGACAAUAACAGUAGAAGAGCACUCAAAAUAUAGAGGUAUAUAUUAUAUAGCUCUCCGUUGUAAGUUGAACAAGCCCAGAUCUGACAUCUGCGUUGGGCUGCUUAUUUAGUGCAUGCAUGGAUUGAUACAAAGUGAACAUAAUAUACGUUCGACCCGGGAUUGGUCAAUGGCCCCGGAUACUAGUAUAGAUAUAAUUUUAGUGGCAGUUAUGGGGUGGGAGGAUUAGCACGGCAUCCGUAGAUCUUUCUGCAGCCAGGUUGGUAAGGCCUACCGCUGGGCACUCCAUAAACUGGCCUACGCGGAUUUAACGCACCAGGAGUAAUAGGCUUAGCAUCUACCGGCUUCUGGCCACCUACUUCUGCGCAACCAAUUGUAAAUUAUUAUUUGUAUUAUCUUAGAGGGAAAGAUGUAUUUAAUUUUCUUUUUAAGAUAAAAGCUCAAAAUUUAUAACAUUCCAACGGCAUUCACCAAGACCUACCUUUGCCAUUCAUUUUUUAAAAAGAAAAAUAUUUGAAGGAAGUUUCUUACCUCCAUUCUAAACUAGUUGUAGUAGAUUAUACUAGGUUAUGAAGGACAAGAGGAAGUUAAAUUCACAUUCAACUAUUUUAACCUAGCAGUAUGAUGUGUUGCAGAUAGGGAUGUCAAACCAAUUGUGUCAAACUCAGAUCAAGCUUUAGAUUGAGGAAAGCGCAAAUUGCAGAUAAAUAAAUUAAAUCUAAAUCAAUAAAACAAGCUUUUACUGUGUACGUGAGUACGUUUGUAUAGAGAGGUACACAGGUAGAUAGAUAAUGGAUUUUUGAAUUAGGACUUUGAUUAAUAUAAUUCUUUUAAUCAAUUAAAUAUUAAUUCACACUUGAGUCAAGCUUAAAAUCAAGCUAUAAAAUUCAAACUUGAACCAGGCUUGAUCAAGCUUGAAUUGAUUUCAACUCAAUUUAAGAUUAUUGAGCUGAUCAAGUGCACUCGUCUUCGAGUUGGUUCGAAAUUAAGCUUGAAGUAUUGAUAAGAAAAAUCGAACUUGAUCUUUGAGUUUCCAGCUUAAAAUUAGUUUCAAAUUAAGCUUAAUCAGGUCCAAGCUUGAUCAAGCUUAGCUCUCUUAGACCCCUAGGCCUUGAUGGCAGCACGUGGGCAACCAGUCUAAUUCAUGUCAGGCCUCUUCCACUUUCAGAUAGAAGACAUCUAUUUUGUGCGUAAGAAGUUCUAAUACGUGCAUGAUAAUACCACUUGUGGUAACUCAAUAUUAAACCACCCCUACCUAUCACAUUAAUUUUCAAAGAGCAAACUUGUCCCUUCAUAUCAUGUAGCCAGAGAACAUUAUGUGCCUACAGAUGUCCCUAUCUUUUUUGCUUCAAAUAUGAGAUAAAUUUCUUGUAAUAAAGUGGGAAAUCUGGAAAAAAAAAGAGAACAAAAAAGAAUGGCUUGGCUGUAACUUAUGUUUUACUCCAUAUUCUAGCUACAACUUAUGCGAUAUUAAUUAAAAGAAAGCAAUAUAUUUUUAAUAAAAGAAGUAAAUUGGGAGAUAUUAAA